GACGAACGCUGGCGGCGUGCUUAACACAUGCAAGUCGAACGGUAAGGCCCCAGCUUGCUGGGGUACACGAGUGGCGAACGGGUGAGUAACACGUGGGUGACCUGCCCCGCACUUCGGGAUAAGCCUGGGAAACUGGGGCUAAUACCGGAUAGGACCGCACCGUGAGGGGGGGGUGGAAAGUUUUUCGGUGUGGGAUGGGCCCGCGGCCUAUCAGCUUGUUGGUGGGGUAAUGGCCUACCAAGGCGGCGACGGGUAGCCGGCCUGAGAGGGUGGACGGCCACAUUGGGACUGAGACACGGCCCAGACUCCUACGGGAGGCAGCAGUGGGGAAUAUUGCACAAUGGGCGGAAGCCUGAUGCAGCGACGCCGCGUGGGGGAUGACGGCCUUCGGGUUGUAAACUCCUUUCGCCAUCGACGAAGGUUUUCUGACGGUAGAUGGAGAAGAAGCACCGGCUAACUACGUG
RNAcentral lists this ribosomal RNA (464 nucleotides) under uncultured bacterium. RNAcentral describes it as "partial 16S ribosomal RNA". It matches the Rfam family "Bacterial small subunit ribosomal RNA", at positions 28 to 507 of the family's 1533-position model. The record is from RNAcentral.